GAAAAGUACUGUGGUUACUCUUAAACUUGACUGUUGUCCUAUGUAUUUACAUUAGCAUUACUCUUUGCAGGAACAAUCAUUGCCCUUUUGUAGUCUGUAAAGUUGGCAUCUCUGAGUACUGCAUACUACAGUUUACUACAUGUACAUGUAGUGUUUUGUAGCUUUAAGUGAGGUUAUACUUCUAUGGUAAGGGCAAUAUGUGCUUGGCCGGUAUUAAACAAGUACGUUUAAUACCAGCUAGGGGCCUGGACGCGAAUAAUGGCCCGAGCCAAAGGCGGGGGUCUUGCAUUCCCAUUCAUAAAUACCAUUUGUGUUUUAAAGUCAAAACAAGUCAAAGAUUCACCAAUUUCAACCAUUUUUCAACGAUUUCAACAAUUUUACAUCAUGUUUUUGGAACACCCCUCUUCCCAUGUCUAUGGUACUAUGUGCCUCGUGAGCGAACUGUGUGGUGUUAAAUAUCUCCAUAUGUGUAUUGAGAAUGGGUAUUGAGAAUGGCGGGCCAGUACUGCGUGCUGCACGAUGUAGUGCAGAAUGCAGCAGUGUUUUAUCAGUGGUUUUAAAACCACCCAUGUGACGGGCUCUCGACCAAUAGGAAUGGGUAAACUGUCUGAGAUAUUUAUGACCAAACAUAAUGCCAUCCAAGCAGUGUUUGAACAAGUCACUGAAUCAGUGUUGUAUGUAGUUAGGGUAAAAUACUUGUAAUGGAUCACAAACUUGUCUUUCUGUUACUGGAGUACAAGUUGCAGACAACUUGAAUUUGAGUACAUUAUUCGUGUAGGCAAUGUGUACAACCAUACAUCAAAUAUAUAGACAAAGAGUAUCAAAUACUUUACCAUAGAAAUUUAUUUUAAUAAUUAUAAAAGUAUAUACAAAUGAGCAAUUUUAAUAUUGUAUUUCUUCAUCUGUAUUGGCUCAGCUAUACAUGCAUUUAGCAUUGGUUAAUUCCAUGUCGAUAUUUCACAAUGUAUUGCUCAAGGUCAUUGUAUAAAAAUAGCACUGUGUCUGAUUUAAUAACAGGUGUACGUGUCCUUGUCAUAUCAUAAUUAUCGCAUUCUUUAUUGCAAAUGGAAAAGUAAAUCCCGCACAAUCACUCAUAUUUACCUACUGUGUGCUAGAUAAUAGUGCAAAGUUCAUUCUAUUGUGUCAUUUUACUUAGUCACUGUAUAAACAACAGUUUGCUGAUACAUGUAAGUACAAUGCAUGUGACUUGAAUAGACUUAAAACAGAUACAUGUAGACACAAAAUUUUAAAUUUUUUACAGAUUAUAAUUAUGCAUUUUUUAGUUUUCUUAAAACCAGUCACUUUCAUGUCUCAUGCAGGAUUCAUCCGAAAAUUGUGAUUCAUGUUAUACUGCACCUAAAUGCAAUUAUGUUUGUGUGCCUUUUGUGUGUGAAUAACUUAUGUCUAAAUAACUUCAAUAGCUGUAUGUCUAUCAAGCUUAAUGUGUUAUGUUAUUGUUUGUUAUGCAUUCAUAGUAAGUUCAAAAUCUUUUAGAAAUGCAAACACAAUGCAAACUAGUCAUUAUUACAGGCAUUCCUAAAGCUACGUGUUCUCGUGUCUUUUCAAAGGAGUAUACAAUGUACUUCAGUGCAUGCUUAGUUCUCAGUAACUCGGUUGUUUUCAAAAAUUGCAACUAACCGCACGGAACAUACUAGUCAAUGUAGGUAUUCUUCAUCUGGAGGUAAACUAACCAUAUUUCAGAUGUCUUGGUUUCAGGAAAUACACAUUACAUGUUAUGUCAUACAAAUGUUAUAAGGAAAAAUUAUUAUAAAAAAUCCUUGUUUGUUUUUAUCUGACCUGACAACCACUUUUUGCCUGGUACAUGUACAUUGUAUUUCAAAAAGCAAAUACAGCUUCAAAAUUAACACUACAAAAUAAAAGAAGGGAAAUUGUGUUUGAACUACAUUUUUCGAAAAAGAAACAUUGUAAUAUGAAAUAAGACCAGCACAACAAUGACUGGACUCUUAAUAGCCAAAUGUACCCCAAAAUUCCUUCUCGUGAUAAUUACAUUAAAACAACAAAUGUUCAAGGUAGAGAUGCACACACUUCUACAUUCUACUGUUUAAUGAUCUUUCCAGCUAUCGUGCGGGAAACGUGUUUUGCCCAGACAGUACUGCACUGCAGACAUAAUAGAAUAUUUUUGGGUUUAUUGAAAUAGAUUGUUGGUUUCAGUUUUUGAAACAUAAGUAAAAUAUAUGUAUGAUGCUAAAAUCAUAUAACACGCCAAA
Molecule: long non-coding RNA, 2228 nt
Organism: Patiria miniata (bat star)
Lineage: Eukaryota; Metazoa; Echinodermata; Asteroidea; Valvatida; Asterinidae
Exons: 2
Source: RefSeq, a predicted model, not a curated record